UGCCAGCCGCCGCGGUAAUACGGAGGGGGUUAGCGUUGUUCGGAAUUACUGGGCGUAAAGCGCGCGUAGGCGGACUAUUAAGUGAGAGGUGAAAUCCCGGAGCUUAACUCCGGAACUGCCUUCAAUACUACUAAUCUUGAGUUCGGAAGAGGUGAGUGGAAUUCCUAGUGUAGAGGUGAAAUUCGUAGAUAUUAGGAAGAACAUCAGUGGCGAAGGCGACUCACUGGUCCGAUACUGACGCUGAGGUGCGAAAGCGUGGGGAGCAAACAGGAUUAGAUA
This 279-nucleotide ribosomal RNA is filed under the name uncultured bacterium. RNAcentral's name for it is "partial 16S ribosomal RNA". It matches the Rfam family "Bacterial small subunit ribosomal RNA", at positions 506 to 784 of the family's 1533-position model. The record is from RNAcentral.